CGGCGGACGGGUGAGUAACACGUGGAUAACCUACCUAUAAGACUGGGAUAACUUCGGGAAACCGGAGCUAAUACCGGAUAAUAUAUUGAACCGCAUGGUUCAAUGGUGAAAGACGGUUUUGCUGUCACUUAUAGAUGGAUCCGCGCCGCAUUAGCUAGUUGGUAAGGUAACGGCUUACCAAGGCAACGAUGCGUAGCCGACCUGAGAGGGUGAUCGGCCACACUGGAACUGAGACACGGUCCAGACUCCUACGGGAGGCAGCAGUC
This 266-nucleotide ribosomal RNA is filed under the name uncultured Staphylococcus sp. Its description in RNAcentral is "partial 16S ribosomal RNA". It matches the Rfam family "Bacterial small subunit ribosomal RNA", at positions 96 to 355 of the family's 1533-position model. The record is from RNAcentral. Lineage: Bacteria; Bacillati; Bacillota; Bacilli; Caryophanales; Staphylococcaceae.